This 274-nucleotide ribosomal RNA is filed under the name uncultured bacterium. RNAcentral describes it as "partial 16S ribosomal RNA". It matches the Rfam family "Bacterial small subunit ribosomal RNA", at positions 523 to 796 of the family's 1533-position model. The record is from RNAcentral.
AUACGGAGGGUGCAAGCGUUAAUCGGAAUUACUGGGCGUAAAGCGUACGUAGGCGGUUCGUUAAGUUAGAUGUGAAAGCCCCGGGCUUAACCUGGGAACUGCGUUUAAAACUGGCGAACUAGAGUUGAGUAGAGGGGAGUGGAAUUUCAGGUGUAGCGGUGAAAUGCGUAGAGAUCUGAAGGAACACCAGUGGCGAAGGCGGCUCCCUGGACUCAAACUGACGCUGAGGUACGAAAGCGUGGGUAGCAAACGGGAUUAGAAACCCUUGUAGUCC